This is a long non-coding RNA of Cercocebus atys (sooty mangabey), 460 nucleotides long. RefSeq lists it as uncharacterized. The transcript has 3 exons. Lineage: Eukaryota; Metazoa; Chordata; Mammalia; Primates; Cercopithecidae. The record is from RefSeq and is a predicted model, not a curated record.
CAUAAAUCAUAAAUCACAGGAUUUACAAUUUGGUGAAAUACAAGAGGAGAUAAACAACAAAGUGAGGUUUUUGAGAUAUUGGGAAUGUUGCUGACCUGUAAUACUGUUUCCCAUUGAUGUGUUUAUGAAGCCUAGAUGCUUUGAAGUCCCUGGAUGCUCUGAACUCUGAAGGUACUAUGCUACAAGUUAAUGAGUUCCAUCCCUGGAACUUGGGAGCUUGGGGCAAAGAGACAGAUGGCACGCUCUCUCCAGAGGGCUGAAGGUGUGAUGGGUAAACCUUUAUAACUCUUGGCAUCUAAAAUCAAGCAAUCAAUGGACUGAAGAGAAGACGUAAAGAAGCAGGCCCAAGAAAAAUGGCUGAGAAUGAAACAUUUGACAGUAAGCAGAGGCAAGUAAGCAGUUCUAUGGCAUUUCAGCCUGUGCUUCCUAUCACAUCUAAGGUUUGGCUGCAUUUUUGUUA